CCUACGGGUGGCAGCAGUGGGGAAUCUUCCGCAAUGGGCGAAAGCCUGACGGAGCAACGCCGCGUGAUCGAAUGAAGGCCUUCGGGUUGUAAAGAUCUGUUGUUAGAGAAGAAAGUGCGUGAGAGUAACUGUUCACGUUUCGACGGUAUCUAACCAGAAAGCCACGGCUAACUACGUGCCAGCAGCCGCGGUAAUACGUAGGUGGCAAGCGUUAUCCGGAUUUAUUGGGCGUAAAGGGAACGCAGGCGGUCUUUUAAGUCUGAUGUGAAAGCCUUCGGCUUAACCGGAGUAGUGCAUUGGAAACUGGGAGACUUGAGUGCAGAAGAGGAGAGUGGAACUCCAUGUGUAGCGGUGAAAUGCGUAGAUAUAUGGAAGAACACCAGUGGCGAAAGCGGCUCUCUGGUCUGUAACUGACGCUGAGGUUCGAAAGCGUGGGUAGCAAACAGGAUUAGAUACCCGAGUAGUC
This 466-nucleotide ribosomal RNA is filed under the name uncultured bacterium. RNAcentral describes it as "partial 16S ribosomal RNA". It matches the Rfam family "Bacterial small subunit ribosomal RNA", at positions 338 to 795 of the family's 1533-position model. The record is from RNAcentral.